UACGUAGGGGGCUAGCGUUGUCCGGAUUUAUUGGGCGUAAAGAGCGUGUAGGCGGCCAUGUAGGUCCGGUGUGAAAACUCGAGGCUUAACCUCGAGAUGUCAUCGGAAACCAUUUGGCUAGAGUCCGGAAGAGGAGAGUGGAAUUCCUGGUGUAGCGGUGAAAUGCGCAGAUAUCAGGAGGAACACCAAUGGCGAAGGCAGCUCGCUGGGACGUGACUGACGCUGAGACGCGAAAGCGUGGGGAGCAAACAGG
RNAcentral lists this ribosomal RNA (253 nucleotides) under uncultured bacterium. RNAcentral describes it as "partial 16S ribosomal RNA". It matches the Rfam family "Bacterial small subunit ribosomal RNA", at positions 524 to 776 of the family's 1533-position model. The record is from RNAcentral.